Caretta caretta (loggerhead turtle) is the source of this 3179-nucleotide RNA transcript. RefSeq lists it as uncharacterized. The record is from RefSeq and is a predicted model, not a curated record. NCBI's taxonomy places the organism in Eukaryota, Metazoa, Chordata, Testudines, Cheloniidae.
GGCUCCGGCAGCGAGCCCACGCCAGGGCCCCAGGCUGCAGGGGGAGUUUUCCGGCUCUUGCAGCGGCGAGGAGCGGCUCGGCAUGCAGGGAGGAGACGCCGAAGAGGCGAGGCCAGCCGGGGCCGCUCUGCAGGUCCUGGUGACAUUUGAGGACAUUGCCAUCUAUUUCACCCGGGAGGAGUGGGAGAUGCUGGCAGAGUGGCAGAAGGAGCUGUAUCGGGACGUGAUGAAGGAACAUUAUGACAAUCUGAUUUCCCUGGGCCAUGCAGGCACCACGCCUGAUGUGUUAUCGCGGAUCGAACGAGGGGAAGAGCCGUGGGUCAUGGAUCAGCAGGAGGAAAGAGAGAGGCUGGAAUGCACCUUGCAUGAGGGUGCAGGCCUGAGCAGAACUGAGCAGCAGCAGCAGCAGGAGGAAGGUCCUGGGAACUUGGAGCCACAGGGGACUUUACCAAGUAGGUCGGAAGAGAGAGUUUUCCAGAGCCCCGAGCGGGAAGAAACUUGCCAGAGGCAGCGCAGGUCGCUGAGGCUGCAGCUGAUCUUGGCGGGGAAUGAGCCAGCUACCCCAAGGGACUGCGAAAGGGGUGGCCAGGAACCUCCGAGGCUCCCUGCGCAGGGAAGACCAAAGACGAGCCAGAGCCCAGCUACGUGUCACAUGUGUGGACUUGGCUUCGAGGGAGAGAGAGCCCUUAGCAGACACAAACGCAGCAUCCACAAGAUAAAGGAUCCACACCAGUGCCAAGUGUGUGGGAAGUGCUUCCGGCUACGGCAGGACCUCAGGAGGCACCAGAGGACCCACACGGGGGAGAAGCCCUACCUUUGCACUCACUGUGGGAAGAGGUUCAGCCAGACCGCCAAUCUCUGCACCCACAAGAAGAUGCACAGGGGGGAGCGGCCGUACCCCUGCGCCAUCUGUGGCAAGAGCUUCCGGCAGAAGCAGCAGCUGGUGUCACACAGCCGGAUCCACACGGGGGAGCGGCCCUACCCCUGCACGCAGUGUGCCAAGAGCUUCCGCUGGAAGCAGGCGCUCAGGGUCCACCAGAAAACCCACGUGGGAGAAGGUGGCUCUGAGGGGAGCCAGGCCAAAGGGCGGGCCUUCACCUGCCCCAAGUGCAAGGCCGUCUUCGCUCACAGGCACGACUUCCUAACGCACCGACAAGCACACGCCAGCGAGCGGACCUACCAGUGUGCCGACUGCGGGAGGUGUUUCAGACAGCGGCAGCAGCUGAUUCCGCACCGCCGGAUCCACACCGGGGAGCGGCCCUACAACUGCCCGCUCUGCGGGAAGAGCUUCCGGCGCAGGCAGGAGCUGACCACGCACCAGAGAAUCCACACGGAUGAGAGGCCCUUCCGCUGCCCCGAGUGCCCGCUCAGCUUCAGGGAGAAGCAGAAGCUGAGGAGACACCAGAGAAUCCACACGGGCGAGAGGCCCUAUGCCUGCUCGGAGUGCGAGAAACGCUUCCGGCAGAAGCAGCAGAUGGUGUCCCACCUCCGGAUCCACACGGACGAGCGGCCCUAUGCCUGCUCAGAGUGCGGGAAACACUUCCGGCGAAAAGACUCCCUCGCCAAACACCAGAGAACCCACCAAAGGGCGCAGACAUAGGGCUUGUCUACACUACCACUUAAGUCAAUGUAACUGAGUUGCUCGGGGAUGUGAAAAAGCCCCCCCCCCCCACACACACACACACACAAGCGACACAAGUUACAUGGACUUAGCACAGUGUGGACAGCGCUUUAUGUCGGCGGGAGACACUCUCCCACUGACAUAGUUUCCUCCUCUCGUUGAGGUGGAGUGAUUACGCCGACGGCCGAGCACUCUCCUAUGGCACAGUGCAUCUUCGCCAGACGCACUACCGCGGCGCAUGGUAGUGUAGACUAGACCAUAGUCAAUGCAGUCGUCCUGCCCCAAACUCCCUCCUCACUUCCCCCGUGGAGGGGAAACUGCUUCCACAGGGACUCGGAGAAACCACCCCCGGAGCCAUCACCCCUUCAUAGCUCCUGGCAGAGAAUGGAGGGGAAGAAACACGACAGACACACUCCACCCCGGAGAAGGUGAAGGAGCUUCACCUCCAUUCCCUCAAAAGAUUGCAAGCUCUUUGGGGCAUGGACUCUCUCUGUUUGCAUAGCCCUAUGCACAGCGUGGCCUUGAUCCGGACUCCAGCCUCUGGGUGCUACCACCUUACAAAUAAUAAUAAUGAAAAGAUGAUUUCUCCAAUGUAAUCUGGAGGUCAACGCUCAUUUGACAGAAAGCGUCAGUCUGGCAGAGCUGUGCAAAACUGGUGAGAAAUGUCUCUGUGAAAUCUUGCAGAAACAUUUUUGUGUGAUCUUGGGCCUCUUAUUUCACUUUUCCACUCAUCCAGAUCAUGCCUAAAUAUUGCUUUUUCUUUCAUAAAAUUUAAAAAAUGUUUUAAAACCUUUCUGUUCUAUCCCACCAUCUGAAACUCUCAUCUGUGCUCCAAUAUUCUCCAAUCCUGAUUACCACAGUCGUCGUUUCCACAACGCCUUAUUGGCCCUUUCCAAUUCAUCCAAAAUGCAGCUGCUCUGGGCCGGGAAGCCAUGGAGGAAAGCACUGUCUUCGCUUCUGGAAAUGAUCACGAAAUUGCCAGAGUACUCCUCAAAUAUUAAAAUACAGGCCUUGCAAGGAGCUUUUCAUAGUGGACAGGCUUUUGGGAGUGCCUAUAAAUUGUGAAAUCCUGGAGCUGCAGGAGUAUGAAGUAAAUAUGCCUCAGCUACUUCUGGAGAAUAAGACAAGUGACGACAGCAGCUUGAGAGAGUGAUUCUAGAUGGGUGGCCAGCUAGUGAAAGGUCAGGAAGUUCCAAGCAUUUAAUGUAGUUGGAAUCAAAGAGAUGAAGUUGUUGCAUGUGACUGGAUUCUGUACAGAGGACACCAUGCUAAGCAGAUGGAUGGUGUCCUCUGGGAAGUGAGUAGUGGGCAGUGAGUAGAGCCUGAUGUAGCUUGUCUGGUCUGACCUCCAUCUAGAUCGUAAAUUUACGAGCUGGCUGUAUUCGUGGGGGUUUUGGGGUGAUCUGUUUUAUUUGUGUUUGAUCUUCAAAAGGAAAAAAAUAGGAAGAUUAACAGUGCCCCUGAAAUCAGCAGAUCCUGAUGCUUGUCAUGUGUCAUGCCAUGUAUUCUCUUUUGUACUCGAUUGGGGCUAGGAAAUAAAAAUCGGGCUCUUAGCGCA